UACAGAGGUCCCAAGCGUUGUUCGGAUUCACUGGGCGUAAAGGGUGCGUAGGUGGUCGGAUAAGUCUGAUGUGAAAUCUCCGAGCUCAACUCGGAAAUGGCAUUGGAUACUAUUCGGCUGGAGGGUUGGAGGGGGGACUGGAAUACUUGGUGUAGCAGUGAAAUGCGUAGAUAUCAAGUGGAACACCAGUGGCGAAGGCGAGUCCCUGGACAACUCCUGACACUGAGGCACGAAAGCUAGAGGAGCAAACAGG
Molecule: ribosomal RNA, 253 nt
Filed under: uncultured bacterium
Lineage: Bacteria
Description: partial 16S ribosomal RNA
Rfam family: Bacterial small subunit ribosomal RNA
Source: RNAcentral